This 217-nucleotide long non-coding RNA is filed under the name Parus major (Great Tit). RNAcentral's name for it is "lncRNA (ENSPMJG00000015123.1)". The record is from RNAcentral. Lineage: Eukaryota; Metazoa; Chordata; Aves; Passeriformes; Paridae.
AGUGAGUCCAGGGAAAUUCUAGUGUGUAAGGGCUGAAGAACAGCUCCUCAAAUUGCUCCCAGUUGCUCAGCUCCUGGAGGUGACCUGCUCUGAAGAAUGGCUGCAUUGUCCCAUGAUGUUUGGAGAAGCAGGAUGACAUGAAGUCCUGAAGGCAGAGCAGUAAAGUUGUCAAAGUAUGUCCAUAUGCAUUGCUGUGUCGUGCAAUUGUUUAGUACCA